This is a long non-coding RNA of Ictalurus punctatus (channel catfish), 1285 nucleotides long. RefSeq lists it as uncharacterized. The record is from RefSeq and is a predicted model, not a curated record. Lineage: Eukaryota; Metazoa; Chordata; Actinopteri; Siluriformes; Ictaluridae. The transcript is spliced from 2 exons.
CUUGGGACCUCUCAACUGUGUGGAUCUCAUGUGAAUUGGAACAGUAAAACUUGGACCCUUGCUUCUUCUCACUGACUGGUUCAGUGUCUUGCUUUUCUUCAUUCAACUGGGUAGUAGAUCUCAGUAAUUCACUCCGCUUCCCUGCUCGGCUGAGGACGUCGCUCUGCUUUCCUGCUCGGCUGAGGAAUUCACUACACUUUCCUUCUUGCCUGAGGAUGUCGCUCUGCCUUCAUGCUCGGCUGAGGACGUUGCUCUGCCAUCCUGCUUCGCUGAAGACCUCGCUCCUCUUCUUUGCUUCACAUCGUAUGUCGCUCCCCCUUCCUGCUCCACAGAAGGCAUUGUUCCCCCCUCGUGCUUUGCGGAGAGCAUUGUUCCUCCCUCUGGACUAGCGGAUGAACCUCGCUCCCCUCUUUGGCCUCACAGAAAUCUUUGAGCUUCCAUCUGGCCUGAUGGAGAACUUCGCCCCUCCCGUGGACCUCGCGGUGAGUAGCACUCUCCCUGCUAGUGUCAUGGGGAAUGUCGCUUCCCCCUCAGGCUCCACCUUGAGCUUUGUUCCUCCCGCUGGCUGUGCAGUAGCCAUUGUGCCGCAUUCAAGCCAGGCCAGGGAUAUCAUGCCCAAGUCUGCUGACACAGACAACCAAGUUAUGCUCACGUCCAAGUCUGCUGAAAACGGACAACCAAGUUCUGCUCACGCCAGAGUCUGCUGAUAUGGCUGACCAAGUUCUGCCUUCCUGCCCAGCUGAGGAUGUCGCUCUGCUUUCCUGUCCUGCUGAGGACAUUGCUCUGCUUUCCUGUCCUGCUGCGGAUGUCGCUCUGCAUUCCUGUUCCGCUGAGGACGUCGCUCUGCUUUCCUGUUCCGCUGAGGAUGUUGCUCUGCUUUCCCGUUCCGCUGAGGAUGCCGCUGUCUCCUGGUUCAGCUGGGGACAUUUUGCCCAGGGGGCCAGGACCACCAGAAGGAGGAAGUGUAUUUUGGUGCUCCUCCAGAUGGAAUGGAAUUUUGGAAAUGAGGUUAAAAUAACAUCUGCUUUUAUUGAUAAAGCUCUAAACUGGUCCGCUAUAAGAGCGGAAGAUGGUACUGCUCUGAGAUCUUAUCUACUUUUCUUGAGAAGCUGCUUCAAUACAAUGUAGGAAGUUGGUUAUGGGGAAGAUCUGGACAUCGCAGCAAACAUGAUAGUAUUUAUACCAUACACUUUUUGUCAAACUGUCAAAGUAGUGUGUACUGAUUUAUGACCCUUUGCUCCCCUGACCGACAUUUCUAUAAGUAUACCUAAUUUAUUACCAGGGG